Long non-coding RNA from Bombus huntii, 1602 nucleotides. RefSeq lists it as uncharacterized. The transcript is spliced from 2 exons. The record is from RefSeq and is a predicted model, not a curated record. Lineage: Eukaryota; Metazoa; Arthropoda; Insecta; Hymenoptera; Apidae.
AAUAUUGCUACUGAGGAGAAAACCUCAAUAAAAAGUCAUCAUUUAAUAUAUCAUACAUAUGUAGUAUUUUAAUUAUAAAAGUUUUACGUUCCCAUUGUUUCAGAUUUAUCAUAAGGAGUAAAAAAUAAAACACUUUUAAUAUGAAGGUGCUGUAUUUUUAUGUAUGUUCCCUUCUUUUAAUGAAAUAAAUAAAUUAAAAAUGUUUUAAUGUAUCAUAUACCUUGUACACAAUGAAUAUAUAUCACACAUCCAUAUAACAUACUGUUAUUGCAUUUAAUCAAUGUUAGAUAUACUAAUUAUAGUAUGUAACAAAUAUGUUAUAUAGUCAGAAUAAUUUGUUUGCAAGUACUGUACUAAAAGUGAUUUUUAAACAUAAUGUUACUAUUUAUUUUCAUUCAUAUAAAAUUUAUCUUUACUUUAGAUUUGACAUGUCUUAAAAGAAGCUGGAUCUAAUUAUGAUAAAGGUUUCAUUUAUUAAAAAUUUUUUUUAUUUUCUAAUUUGUUAAUUUAUAUUUUUCAAUUCUGAAACGAUCGAGAAAUAUGAUAUGAUAAACAUUAUCAGCAGUGAUUAAUAAUAUUAAUAAUUAAUUUUAUUAAACAUUAAUAAUAUUUACUCUUUAUAUCUAUUUACAGUCGUUGAAGUAACAAUUUUCUUACAAGAUAUUAAUGAGUUUAGUGAUGUAAAUGAACUCUACAAAGAAUUUUUUAAGGAGAACUAUCCAACUGGAUCUACAUUCCAAGUUGGAAAGUUACCAAUGGUGAGAAGUAACACACAUAUGAAUAUACACAUGUAAUUCAAAAUCUAACCGCUAACGUUAAACGUAAAAUAUUGCUGUAGGGUGCAAAAUUUGAAAUUGAAGCUAUCGCUGUUGUUGGCGAGGUAGAAACAAUUUGAAUAUUAUAAGCAAAAUUAAUUUAAAUGUUAUAUAUUAAUGAAAUAUGUUUGCAUUUAAGCAUUUAAAUAUUAUUUCGAAUUUACUAUUUCUAUGUGUGAUGCUUUUAUGAUUAUAUUAAUAACAAUUUGGUUUUUUUACCAUAUGUAUAUUUAAACAUAAGUUUAUUUUUUAAAAACAAAUAAUGGGAAAGAGUAAUGGGAAAUAUCUUUCAUAAAUUAUAUUAAAUAUUUUUGUACUAUUGAAAAACCUUAGAAAUAAAUAUUUUUGGGAAGUUUCCUCUAAUAUUUUGCUUUGUACAGGACAUAUAAAAAAAAAAUAAAAAACGUAUAAUAAUGAAUGUUAAUAGUAACCUGAUCAAAGUCGCCAAAUAUUUCAUAUAACAUUGACAUAAAAAUUAAAUUUAUAAAAAACACACUUAAUAGUAAUUCAUCACAAGAAAUAGUACUUUUUAAUUAAUAUCAGGUGUAGCAAAAGAAGAAUUUUUAUAUGUUGUAAAUAAAUUAUAUUACUUUAUAAAAAAGAAAGAAAACAUUUAUGUAUUUUCAUAAUAAUUUAUAAUGCUAUGACAAAAGUGUAACGAUAAAUGUAACUUUUAUCUCGUAAAAUAAAAGUAAAAUCGUGAAUAUUGUAAGAAUAUUAUAUUUAAAAUGUUUGAGUUUAAAUAUGUCAUUGUAAUAAAUAAACAAAAACGUAUCCUAACGAACAA